Molecule: ribosomal RNA, 92 nt
Organism: Cavia porcellus (domestic guinea pig)
Lineage: Eukaryota; Metazoa; Chordata; Mammalia; Rodentia; Caviidae
Source: Rfam
AUCCCCAGCCAUAGCACCCUGAAUGCACGCUAUCUCCUCUGAUCUUGGAAGCUAAGCAGGGUCGGGCCUGCUUAGUGCUGGGAUGGGAGAAU